UACGUAGGUGGCAAGCGUUGUCCGGAUUUAUUGGGCGUAAAGAGCUCGUAGGCGGCUUGUCGCGUCGUCCGUGAAAACCCACAGCUCAACUGUGGGCUUGCGGUCGAUACGGGCAGGCUAGAGUUCGGUAGGGGAGACUGGAAUUCCUGGUGUAGCGGUGAAAUGCGCAGAUAUCAGGAGGAACACCGGUGGCGAAGGCGGGUCUCUGGGCCGAUACUGACGCUGAGGAGCGAAAGCGUGGGGAGCGAACAGG
Molecule: ribosomal RNA, 253 nt
Filed under: uncultured bacterium
Lineage: Bacteria
Description: partial 16S ribosomal RNA
Rfam family: Bacterial small subunit ribosomal RNA
Source: RNAcentral